GCGAGGGUGGCGGAACUGGCAGACGCGCCAGACUUAGGAUCUGGUGGGUAAUUCCAUGGGGGUUCAACUCCCCCCCCUCGCA
RNAcentral lists this transfer RNA (82 nucleotides) under Candidatus Omnitrophota bacterium. RNAcentral's name for it is "Candidatus Omnitrophica bacterium tRNA-Leu". It matches the Rfam family "tRNA". From Rfam's summary of the family: Transfer RNA (tRNA) molecules are approximately 80 nucleotides in length. Lineage: Bacteria; Pseudomonadati; Candidatus Omnitrophota. RNAcentral also lists the same sequence under 1 other name. The record is from RNAcentral.